Corylus avellana is the source of this 1475-nucleotide long non-coding RNA. RefSeq lists it as uncharacterized. The record is from RefSeq and is a predicted model, not a curated record. NCBI's taxonomy places the organism in Eukaryota, Viridiplantae, Streptophyta, Magnoliopsida, Fagales, Betulaceae.
CCUUCGGGACAUCCGAUAAAAUUGGAACGAUACAGAGAAGAUUAGCAUGGCCCCUGCGCAAGGAUGACACGCAUAAAUCGAGAAAUGGGUUCCAUUGCAGAAGCCAGAAGGUGUUUUCUCAGAAUUUGUGGUUGAUGGAGAUGGAUGGGUACUCUUGAAUUUGUUAUUUUGAAUGCAGAUAAUUGGAUGGGUAGUCUUGAUUGUAAGGUGCCUCCAGAGCUCAUUAUGAAGAGUUAUUACGAGAUCUCUUAGAAUUCUUUUUAAAUUUGAAAUUUUUAAAUUCAUAAAUUUCAGCUAUCUACAUUAUCUAAGCGUCUAAAAUAAGUCAUGUUUCAGAAUUGAAUGAGGAAGUUACUCUCAUCAAUCUCAUUAAAUGAGGAAGUUACUCUCAUCCAUCGCAGUAAAUUUUGAAACAUGACUUAUUUUAGACGCUUAAAUGAUAUAGACAGCUGAGAUUUAUGAAUUUAAGAAUCUCAAAUUUAAAAUGCCCGUAGAAAAACUAUAAGCACCAUAUAUGGUGAAUAGUAUCUUCCUAUAUAUCAUAUGAUGUUUGUUGUAAUUGUCACCUUUUUUUCUUUUAAUCGUUAUAUUUUAUUACAUAAUUGUUUGUUUCACUGACGAUGUUUUCAAUUUUGGCGGACUACUUUUACCUUAUUAUUUUGUAUUCGAAGCCUUGUUAUGUCCUUUCUAUGGUUUCCCUCUGCUUGCCGUCCCAUGCAAAAUGUUGAUGCCACUUCCAAGACCCUAAAAUCCACACACCCCCAAAUACUACACAAAUCCCUCCCUCUGCUUGACCAGCUCACACUUCCAAGCUUCUCUCAUUUCUUCAAUCCAAUUUUCUUUUCACCAUUUCUUGUAAACAAAGCAAUAGAGAGGCAUCAUAACCAUGAAGAGCAAAUCAAACGAGCAAAGCAAGUUGAUGCACUACAUCUACAUGUUAUCACCCAUUAGGAUCCUAACGAAGGCCACAGAGUUUUACGUGAAAAGCAUGGUGGAUUGUGCGGGAAGAGCGGGACAUGGUGCUGCGGUGGGCAACCCUAUUGCACGAGUCUCACGCUUGCCUAAUCACGAUGAGGUUUUGAGGCAGCUUCUUAGAAAGGCUUCGAAGAGAAAUAUGGACAAUAAGGUGAGCUUUGAUAUGCAUAGGCAACAAGAGGUUAGGAGUUACAGUGUUGGGUUGGGAAAGAUUGGGAGAAUUGAUGAGGACAAGCCUUGUUAUUUUGAGGAAGAUGAUGUCAAUGCGAAGAGAAGAAGUUAUGGUGUUAAGAGGAGUUAGUGAUGGAUUAGAUACUAAAAUCAAACAUGCAUGGGAAGGGAUAAAGCUAGUGAUUAGAGAGAUUGAGCUUUGGGUCUAUGGGCCAGCUAAAUUAUUAUUAGUGAUUAGUUAUGGUGUGCAUAGUGUUAAAUUAUUCUUUGUAAGUUAAAACUAAUAGAAAUAAAUGAAUUUAAUAAUUUAAUUUAUAUUCUAACAUUUU